Long non-coding RNA from Ricinus communis (castor bean), 8323 nucleotides. RefSeq lists it as uncharacterized. The record is from RefSeq and is a predicted model, not a curated record. The transcript is spliced from 3 exons. NCBI's taxonomy places the organism in Eukaryota, Viridiplantae, Streptophyta, Magnoliopsida, Malpighiales, Euphorbiaceae.
UAGAAAUAAAGUUAAUAACUGAGGUGUCAGGCUAUACAAAAACAUAAUACCCUUUUUCCUUGCCAAAACAUAACUGUUCAACCUGUCCCCUACCAUCAUUUACCAUCUUCAAGCCCUAAAUGAGAUACCAAUCUUCUUCAAUUCUCUCCCUUGCUUUCUCUUUGUCGUUCUCAUUUCACUUCCCUAAUCCAAAAAAAAAUACUAUCUUUCUUUCUUCUCUUCGUCUGGAAUCCAUAUGCCAUUAUAUAUUUUCUAUAGUACCUUUACUCCUUCCACUUCAAUGUUCACUCUCUCCUUAAAUGGAUUAUUGCGGUUUCAGAUCACCAUACAUGAUAAAAUUCUCUUCCUUUUCUAUUUUCAUCCUUUGGAGCGAGUUGCGGAGGUUUAUUCCACGCGCCAUUUUAAUGAGUAUGGAGCCUGAUACCAUGGAGAACGUCAGAUUAGUGACGUACGGUAAGAUAUUAUGAUCCGAUAAUUUCGUAUUCGGACAGUCUGGCGUUGGAUAUAACUGGGCCAAAGGUCACUAUACUAAAGUGGCUGAGUUGGUUGACUUGGUUCUUGAUGUUGUUAGGAAAGAAGCAGAGAACCGUGACUGCCUUCAAGGUAAUAUUAGUUAGUGCUUUGUGUUAUUCUUUAGUAUUUGGUUAGUAAGGAUUUCGUUCUUUUGAAAAUGUUAGGUGUUUUUGUUAGUUAAAUUAGGCCUUUUUUAACUAUUUUAUUGUAUAUGGAUUUCUUAUUUAUUUUCUAUUUUGGUCCAGGUAUUAAUGCAUAUUCGUUCUGUGCAUAUUCGUUCUGUGUUUUAUGUGUUGUGUUUGCUGGGUGAUGAUCCAGAAUAAUUUCUUCUUUUAUUUUAAUUGUUUAAUUUUUUUAAUUUGCGGUAUCUCAUGUAUCUUUUUGGAUUUUUCAGAUAUGGAUGUAUAUGUUACAAAUGAAGGAAUAACAUUAUGUACAUAACCAAAGUAAGCUUAACAUAAAAAUAAAGGAAAGAUGACUAUUUAUACUCUAACAUAGAAAUAACUAUACUACCCUUACAAUAAACAUUUAAUUACAGUGUUUAACAUUCCCCCUCAAACUCACGAUGCGAUAGCAACAAGUAUCGAGAGUUUGUCAGAUAAAAAACGAAAACGUGAAUUAGUUAGACAUUUUGUAAAUAAGUCCGCAAGCUGUAAGGAAGAAGAAACAAAAGGUAAUGUCAAGGUGCCAUUCUGAAGAUGAUGACGGGUAAUAUGACAGUCGAUUUCGAUAUGCUUGGUCCAUUCGUGAAAGACUAAAUUGUGUGCAAUCUGAAUAGUGCUCUUAUUAUCACAAUGUAAAGGAGUUGGUUGCUGCAGAAAGACAUCUAUAUCAGCAAGUAACCAUCACAACCAAACUAUUUCACAAGUAGUAGAAGCCAUAGCGCGAUAUUCAGCCUCCGUUUAGGAUCGAGAAAUGACGUCCUGCUUCUUACUUUUCUAAGAGAUAAGGGAAUCACUUAAAAAGAUACAAAAUCCAGUAGUUGAUUUGCGGUCAGUGGGAUCAGCAGCCCAAUCAGCAUCGGACUAAGCACAUAACUCUAAAGAUGAAGAAGAUGAAAAUAUAAGAGUCUGAAACUGAGUGCCGCGGAGGUAUCUCAAAAUGCGAAGAACAGCAGCCCAAUGAACUGUAGUAGGAGAAGUAACAAACUGACUGACUAUAUGAACAGCAUAUGCAAUAUCAGGACGAGUGAUAGUAAGAUAAACCAAACUUCCAACAACAGUCCGAUACAGACUCGGAUCCGGCAGUAGAGAACCAUCAGAAGCAGAAUAACGAGCAUUGAGCUCAAUUGGAGUAUCAACAGUCUUAUUAUCAAAAGGCGAGCACGCUCAAAAAUAUCAGAAAUCUACUUAGAUUGAGAAAGAAAAUACCCUUUUGGAGAAGAAGCAACUUCAAUACCCAAGAAGUAACGAAGGGAACCCAAGUCCUUCAUAGCAAAACAACGAGUCAGUUCAGACUUUAACAGACUAAUCCCGACAACAUCAUCACCUGUAAUAAUCAUAUCAUCAACAUACAGAGAAAGCAAAAUUCGACUAGUCGAAGUACAUUUGAUAAACAGUGCAGAGUCAUGGUGGCUAGAAUGAAAACCAAGUGAAGUAAUUACAGCAGAAAACUUCUCAAACCAAGCGCGAGGAGCCUGUUUGAGACCAUAAAGAGCCUUCCUAAGUCUGCAAACUUCACCAAGAUGAUGAUCAAGACCAGGAGGAGGGACCAUAUAAACUUCUUCGUGAAGAUCGCCAUUCAAAAAGGCAUUUUUGACAUCCAUUUGAGUUAUAUCCCAAUGGCGAACGGAAGCAACAACAAUAAGAGUUCGAACUGUAGUCAUUUUAGCAAUGGGAGCAAAAGUCUCUUCAUAAUCCAUACCAUAUUCUUGAGAAUAACCCUUAGCCACUAAACGAGCUUUAUACCUUUCAAUAGAACCAUCAGACUUAGUUUUAAUCUUGUAGACCCAACGAGAACUAAUAGCACACUUUACCUGCAGGAAGGAAUACCAAAUCCCAAGUAUGGGUUUGGUGAAGUGCAGUUAACUCCUUAGCCAUGGCACGCUGCCAAAGAGGAUCAAGAAUGGCCUCUUUGAAAGAUGAAGGUUCAGAAAGACGAUGAAUAGAAGCGAGAAAAGAAACAAAUGAACUCGAAUAACAAGAAUAAUCAAAAUCAGGUUGUUUAGUGGACUUACAAUUGCGUACAGGAUAGCGAGGUACGAUAGUAUCCGCAGUCUCAGAAGAUGAGUGGGCGGAGUGUGUAAUAGAGGAGCCAAUAGAGGUGUCAGGAAUGUCAGCAGAGGGUAGCUCAUCAACAUCAGUAGCAAAAGGGUCAAUAUAGAUAAGAUCAGACAUAGAUAUAUGGUGAGGACGGUCAGGAAUUGCAAAAUAAGGAAUGUGUUCAAGAAAAACAACAUGACGAGAAACAUAUAAUUUAUGACUGAUUGGAUCAAAACAACGAUACCCUUUUUGACCUGCACCAUAACCAAGAAAGACACAUAUAGUAGAUCGAGAUGAUAGCUUACUGCGUUCAAGAUGAGGAAGAAGAACAAAACAUGUAGAACUAAAAACACGAAGAGAAGUAUAAUCUAGCAGACGACCAUACAAUCUUUCAUAGGGAGACAAGCCAGAAUUAUGAGAAAUAGGAAUUCUGUUAAUUAAAUGAACAAAAGUAAGAACUCCUUCCCCCCAAAAUUCACUAGGAACACUAGCAGACAACAAGAGUGAUCGUGCAGUCUCUAGAAUGUGCCUAUGUUUUCUUUCAGCAACUCCAUUUUGUUCAGGAGUAUCAAUGCAAGAAGUUUGGUAAAUUGUACCAUUAAAAGCAAGUAGAUCCUUAAAAGCAUGAGAAGUAUACUCUCCCCCAAAAUCACAUCUAAAAUAUUUGAUAACAUCUGAAUGUUGGGUUUUCACAAGAGAUCGGAACUCAUUAUAAAUGCCAAAAAAGUCUGAAUGACGUUUCAUAAGAUAAACCCAACAAUAACGAGUGCAAUCAUCAAUAAAAGAUACAUAAUAGCGAGAACUCCCUUUUGUAGAAACAGGAGAGGGUCCCUAUACAUCAGAAUGAAUAAGAUCAAAAGGAGCAACAUAUAUAGUAGUGCUUUUAGGAAAAGGCAAUGCAUUAAACUUGGCUAGUUUGCAACCACUACAAUCAGAAAUAUCAUGAGUUUUUAAAUUUCCUAAAGCUCCUAUAGAAACUAAAAAUUUUAAAUGAGACACAGAGACAUGACCAAGGCGAGAGUGCCACAAAUAAAACACAGAUGAAGAGGGAUUCAAAUGAAAAGAUGACAAAUUCACACUAGGAACAACAACCGCAGUGUGAGGGGUUUUGAGUUGAUCCAAUACAUAAAGUCCUCCUUCUCUAUGGCCGAUCCCAAUCACUUUCUGAGACUGUGCAUCCUGAACAAAACAAGCAGAAGAAGAAAAUGAGAUUGAGCAUCCAGUAUCACAAAUCUGACAAACAGAAGCAAGAUUUAAAGCAAGACUAGAAUGUGAUAGACAUUAGACAAAGAUAGAGAAGGUGUAAUAAUCGAACCAACAUCUUGCAAUGGCAUAGGUGUACCACUAGCACUCAUAACAGGAACUGAAACUUUAGGGGUUAGAGAAGUAAAUAAUGAUAAAUUAGGUGACAUAUGGUUUGAAGCACCAGAAUUUAAAAUCCAAGAGGAAGGGGAUAUACCUGAAGGACUAGAUGACAGACCUACUUGAGAGGAAGCAGACAUGGCAUGAGGCUGAGAAGCAAGAAACUGCUGAAACUGCUCAAUCAGUGAUGGGUCUAAGGAGGAGGUUGAUAAGGCAUUGUGAGAACGGGGUAGAAGAGGAGGUCCAUUAUGGAGAGGCGGUAAUCGAUACGACCACUGAUGAGACUAUUGCUGCUGCUGUUGAUGAAACUGUUGCUGUUUUCCUCUGCCCAAUUUCGGACACUAAGAUUUCCAAUGACCUAUUUGCUUGCAGAACCCGCAUUCAUCACGAGCAACAGGUCCAUAUGGCUUGAACUGAGAUUUAGAGUUUGAUCGAGGAAGCAUGGUAAAAACAGAUGGAGUAGAAGCUGAAGAAACCUCUUUUACAACCGAAGACUUUAAACGAAUUUCUUCAGCCAAAAGUUCACUAAUAACAGAAUCAACAGAAGGCAAUGGAUGACGAUGCAGAAUAGACCCACGAAGUCCCUCAAACUCAUCAUGAAGGGCCAUUUAAAAACUGUACCAAUCUCUGCUCCUCUCUUCGUACAAUCUAAGGCCCAAAGGCUCGUAAUUCAGCAGGUUCUGUGAGAGCCAACUGAUCCCACAAAUCUGUCAUAGCAUUGUAGAAUUCUUGAAUACUCAUACUUUUCUGCUGAAGAGCCCGAAUGUCAGACUCCAACUGGUAUUGCUUUGCAAAAUUAGACUGUGUAUACAGUCUAGCUAGGUGAUCCUAAACCUCCUUAGCCGUCUCAUAUUUUGCUAAUUGGGUGCCUAUCGAAUGCUUAACAGAAUUAUUGAUCCAAGUAAUAAUUUUUGAAUUAUCAACUUCCCAUUUAUCUAAUAAUGCCACAUCAUCUUGAGGCUUAAUAUAAGCACCCGAAAUAUAUCCCCACUUUUGUUUCCCUUUCAAGAAACUUUUCAUCACGUAGCUCCAAUACACACAAUUCUUACCAUCCAACUGAACACUAACUGCUUGAAGCGAAUCAUCUCUAGCUUCAGCCAUACGGAACAGAUAAAAGAAAGGAAAAUUCAACAGAAAUCAACAACAAUCAAUUACUCCAAAGAAGGGGCAACAAAUCUACUUUUACAAAUUGAUAACAAUCUUACAAAGCCUCUUAUACAGAUUGCUUAUGUGCUAUAACCAUUUAUCAAUAUGAAACCACAAUAUAUAAUUUCCCACCAAGCAAAUAAAUUUAAGCCACAGCCCCUAUCAACAAAUCCAACCUUAUAAUGUUGUGUCUGUCAACGUCGAAAAGCAAAGAAUUUUGUCGAGCAGGUGGCAUGCAAGGAGUACCACUGACCAACACGCCACGAACAGCAAAAAACCAGCAGCAAGAAGCAGAUGCACACAGCAAAGAAAGGAAGAACUAGCAGACACACAGUAGUCUAUUUUCCAGACGCAGCAAUGCACGUAGCAGCAAGAAGUAGAUGCACGCAGCAAAGAAGAGAAAGAACGAGUAGACCACAGCAGUCUGCACAACAGAUUUAACAGGAGAGUUUUGUCGAAUAGGUGGCGCGCAAAGUGGAAAUGCCGACGCAUAGCAGCAAGAACCAGCAGCAAAGCAGCAGACGCACGCAGCAAAGCAAAAAGAUGCACGCAGGAAAGAGGAAGCUCUGAUACCAUGUUACAAAUGAAGGAAUAACAUUAUGUACAUAACCAAAUGAGGAGGCGUUCUAAUAAGGAUUUGAAGUAUGUUUAUCGAUCUUGAAUGAUUCCAAAUAGCGAUCUGGUCUAGGCUCUGAAGGUAUUGAUGCAUGUUGUUUGUAUUGCUUCUUCUGUGUUUGCUGGAUUAUGAUUGUAAGUGGAAAUCUUAUAUGGAUAAAAUUAUGUCAGUCUAUGUGCAGGUAUUUGAUUAGGCUUUUAUGCAAUUGGUUUUCUACUUCUUAAUUUUUCUCAUGCUGUUUUAUUACAAACUCUUGGUUCACAUGCAGAUUUCUCAUAUGGGUAACUCCAAAAAUCCAAAGAAGAGACCUAAAAGUAUAGAGGCAUCAGAAGGAGCAAUAUUGACAUUCAAGUUAGUCAUUUGACAUAUUUUUCUUAUUCAUUAGAUAAUAGGUUUUGUACUUAUACAUAUAAUACUCAAAAUGAAUAUCAUCAAAGCCUCUGAAUCCUAGAUCUUUACCUUAAAAUAAAUCUGUGGUAGUUGAUAGGUGCGCGUGUUAUUUUUAUUUAUUUAAAGUAAUUUCUUAUUUUAGUUUUAUAAAUAUGUUUUUGUCAUGUUUUUUUUUGCCUUUUUUCCAUGUCUUUUUCCUUUAGAGAUUUUGUCUUAAAGUGUCUUUAGCUUCUAUCUUUUUAAGCUUUUUCGUCUCUUGGGUUUUUAUUCUUUAGAUCUCUUAUUGGUUUUUCUUUUUUUAGAUAUCGAUAAAAUCUACAAAUGUCUUUGGUUUGUUUACUGUAAAUCUAUGUUUAAAAAUUGUGUAUCUAAUUUUUUCAUGGAUCUAAUUUGCUUUGUGGAUUAGUAGAUUUACAUUUUUAUUAUUACUAGGCUAAUUGAAUAUUUUUUGAUUUUUAAAAAUUAUGGUUGUUGCAUGCUAUAUUUUUUGUUCAUCUAAAAUUGAAAGAUUAUAAAAUUAAAAGAAACCUGUUACUUUUGACAACCCAGUUCUAAAAGAAAUCUAGUGCUUUUGAUGGAACUUAAUUCCCUAGCUGUUUCUUGGUUUUAUUUAUUCAAACUAAUUACUGAUUACAUAUUGAAAACUUUCUAUUUGUUGUUAUUUUUGCUGCAUUUAAAUUCAAUAUAGGCAUUUGUGAUUUGAGAUGUGGUUGCAACAGUUAACUCUUAACUCUAUCUCCUUAGUUGUUGUUCAGGAUUGAGAUUUGUGCUUGCCCCAAGUUUACUGUCUACUGUUUACUUUUUUUAAAGAGAUAAUGUUCGUACAAUGCUUUGGUUAUUUUUUUAGUUUUUCUUUUCAUUGUUUUUUUGUUUCAUUCUCAAGGAUUCUUCUUUGAGUUUAAUAAUAAUAAAAAUAAAUAAAAAUCUUUUUAAAAUCAGAGAAAACUAUUACUUUUAAUAAAGAAAAGUUUUACAAGUGGCUGUGGUAGUUUCUUUGCUGGAAAACUAUUUUUAGUUUGUGGGCCUGAUAUUUUUUAUGGAUAUAAUUUGCUUUAUAUAUUGUUUGUAUCAGGGUCUUUAAGUGAACUGAUUGAUAUUUCAAUUCUUGAGGGUGUUAGCUGCUGAGGAUUGCAAUUGAUAGAUUUAUUUGUUCUCUUUUACUAUUGGUGUGGUUUUUCCUUUCCAAUUUUUAUUUUUUUCCUUGCAUGUUUGGUUAUUUUUAUUUUCUACCUAUAUGUAUUUAGUUUACUAUUAAUUACUUUAUUGAUUCGGUUUCUUAUUUAUUUAUUUAUUUGCUUAUUUGAGAGAGUUCUUCAAGUUUCUAGCGUUAGUGGCAUAAAAUUCUAUUGAUUGCUUCGAUGAAGUUUUUAAAAUUUUACUUCUGCUUCAUUAAGUAUUUAUUAUUAUAUGUGUACAACUAUGAAUAUGUUGAUGAUUAUGAACUUAAGUUACUGUUAAUGUUGAGUACGAGAUCUAAUCUAUGUUGAUAAGAAUUGUUGAAAUUGACUAUAAGAAAUUUUAAAACUUUUUUGAUAUUUAAUUUAUUUAGCGAUGUCAGAGCAUUUUUUUUAUUGUGAGCAUCUCAUUUGCAGUUAAUUUAUGAUUAUUUUUUGGUAAUUAGUUAUUGGUGAUUUUUUUUACAACAUUUUCUUGGCAUCAUAUAGAUAUAUUUUAAAUUAGAUUACUAAAGAAAAGCCCUUGCUUCUAAAGGGUUUAGGGCUUUAUAUGAUUUCAUAUUUCCUACUAUCAGAUCUUUUAGUUUAUUAUUAGGCGGAUGUUUAUCUCUACCUAUGUUUUAAGUUAUGAGUUUUUUUAAAGCCAAUUUGAUUUAGUACUUAUCAUUAUACUCUUGAGUUUAGAUGUUCUAAUAGCUGUAAUCUUGAUUUCUUUCUGUUGUUGGUUAUAAAAUAUAUUUUUAUUCCAUUAAAUAUUUUUUAAAAACAUUAGAAAAAAUAUGUACACGAGUCUAAUCAUCAAUCUGCUUCUUUGUAGUUACUAUUUAUAAUUACUAUUUCUUUUAUGUUGAUUAUCUCUUUUAAUUGGAAUUUAAGAAAAAAAACUCCGGUAUGUUCAAAAUUUAAAGAAUUUUUCUUCC